AUGGCUCACACUCAAGACCUGCAACAUGCAGGAUCUGUGGUCGUAAGCUAGUAGGUACACUGUGACCCAUUAUAAAUCCAACAUAAGCCUUCUGAAAGCAACUUGGAAGGAGGAUCGGUGAGAAGCUUAAAUACAUUUAAUCAAGCAUUCUUGUCUGCUAACUUCAAAAGGGAGCCAAACAUGGAGGACAUUUGUGGAGAUUCAGCAUGCAGGAGGCUUAAGAUAUCUUAUGACAGUUUGCUUGAGUGUGUAGCAUUCCUAAAUGUUAGGAGUAUCUAAUGAAGUCUGAAGAAGCCUGGAGGAAAAAUGGAUGCUACCUUAAUUUAAUCACCAACAAGGUUCAGAUCAACAGAUUGAAAGAUUGGUUGCAAAGACCAGAUACAGAACAGAAGAUGAAAACUGCACAAAGAGAACACACAUUUGAAUUGCUGUGCAGGAAUUCUCCAGGGACUUAUCAGAGUUGCUGGAAGAAAACAGCUGAGGAUUGAGCACAGUGAACUAAUUUCCUCACAUCUUUGAAUAAGCAGAAGUUGGUGAAAAGGAAUGUAAAUAUUCUUAUGGCAAAAUGAGUUCAAAAAGAAGCCUUAAAUCCUUAAAAUUAAUAAACCAAUACACCAAAACAUAAGACUGCACAAUUAUUUGCAUGGCUGAUAAGAAGAAGGAAAAUAAUUCCAGAUAUCUUUUUGAAGAAAGGAACAAUAAAACAGGCAUAUUAAAAAAUAAAACCACAUUAAAAACUAUUCAAUAGAAAAAAAUAUAGAAGGCACCAAAUACGAGAAAGUAAACUUCCUUUUAUUGACACAGAAUACUUUUAAGAGCGGUGAUUUGAGGUGUUAACUUCCUUUACUUCCUGACCCAUUGUCCAGAACUUCUGAAGUUGUUCCUUUUUACAUUUUCUACCUUCUCAUGUACCUUUCACCUUCCC
This 925-nucleotide long non-coding RNA is filed under the name Pan paniscus (pygmy chimpanzee). RNAcentral's name for it is "lncRNA (ENSPPAG00000044369.1)". The record is from RNAcentral. Lineage: Eukaryota; Metazoa; Chordata; Mammalia; Primates; Hominidae.